Molecule: ribosomal RNA, 465 nt
Filed under: uncultured bacterium
Lineage: Bacteria
Description: partial 16S ribosomal RNA
Rfam family: Bacterial small subunit ribosomal RNA
Source: RNAcentral
CCUACGGGUGGCAGCAGUAGGGAAUCUUCCACAAUGGGCGAAAGCCUGAUGCAGCAACGCCGCGUGGGUGAAGAAGGUCCUCGGAUCGUAAAACCCUGUUGGUAGGGAAGAAAAUGAGGGAGAGUAACUGUUCACGUUUCGACAGUAACUAACCAGCAAGCCACGGCUUACUACGUGCCAGCAGCCGAUGGAAUCCGUAGGUGGCAAGAGUUGUCCGGAUUUAUUGGGCGUAAAAGGAGCGCAGGCGGUCUUUUAAGCCUGGUGGGAAAGCCUUCGGCUUAACCGGUGUAGUGCAGUUGGAACUGGGAGACUUGAGUGCAGGAGAGGAGAGUGGAACUCCAGGUGUAGCGGUGAAAUGCGUAGAUAUAUGGAAGAACACCAGUGGCGAAGGCGGCCUUCUGGUCUGUAACUGACGCUGAGGUUCGAAAGCGUGGGGAGCAAACAGGAUUAGAUACCCGAGUAGUC